This 469-nucleotide ribosomal RNA is filed under the name uncultured bacterium. RNAcentral's name for it is "partial 16S ribosomal RNA". It matches the Rfam family "Bacterial small subunit ribosomal RNA", at positions 36 to 507 of the family's 1533-position model. The record is from RNAcentral.
UCCUCCCUCUUUCUUCGUGCUUCCCCCCUGCACGUCGACCGGAAAGGCCCUGCUUUUGUGGGGUGCUCGAGUGGCGAACGGGUGAGUAACACGUGAGUAACCUGCCCUUGACUUUGGGAUAACUUCAGGAAACUGGGGCUAAUACCGGAUAGGAGCUCCUGCUGCAUGGUGGGGGUUGGAAAGUUUCGGCGGUUGGGGAUGGACUCGCGGCUUAUCAGCUUGUUGGUGGGGUAGUGGCUUACCAAGGCUUUGCCGGGUAGCCGGCCUGAGAGGGUGACCGGCCACAUUGGGACUUGAGAUACGGCCCAGACUCCUACGGGAGGCAGCAGUGGGGAAUAUUGCACAAUGGGCGGAAGCCUGAUGCAGCAACGCCGCGUGCGGGAUGACGGCCGUCGGGUUGUAAACCGCUUUCGCCUGUGACGAAGCGUGAGUGACGGUAAUGGGUAAAGAAGCACCGGCUAACUACGUG